AGUGAACGCUGGCGGUAGGCCUAACACAUGCCAGUCGAACGGCAGCACAGUAAGAGCUUGCUCUUACGGGUGGCGAGUGGCGGACGGGUGAGGAAUACAUCGGAAUCUACUUUUUCGUGGGGGAUAACGUAGGGAAACUUACGCUAAUACCGCAUACGACCUACGGGUGAAAGCAGGGGAUCUUCGGACCUUGCGCGAUUGAAUGAGCCGAUGUCGGAUUAGCUAGUUGGCGGGGUAAAGGCCCACCAAGGCGACGAUCCGCAGCUGGUCUGAGUGGAUGAUCAGCCACACUGGAACUGAGACACGGUCCAGACUCCUACGGGAGGCAGCAGUGGGGAAUAUUGGACAAUGGGCGCAAGCCUGAUCCAGCCAUACCGCGUGGGUGAAGAAGGCCUUCGGGUUGUAAAGCCCUUUUGUUGGGAAAGAAAAGCAGCAGGUUAAUACCCCGCUGUUCUGACGGUACCCAAAGAAUAAGCACCGGCUAACUUCGUG
RNAcentral lists this ribosomal RNA (492 nucleotides) under uncultured bacterium. RNAcentral's name for it is "partial 16S ribosomal RNA". It matches the Rfam family "Bacterial small subunit ribosomal RNA", at positions 29 to 507 of the family's 1533-position model. The record is from RNAcentral.